AACUAACAAGGAUUCCCCUAGUAACUGCGAGUGAAGCGGGAAAAGCUCAAAUUUUGAAUCUGGCAGUCAUGUUAGGCUGUCCGAAUUGUAAUCUAGAGAAGCGUCUUCCGCGCUGGACCGUGUACAAGUCUCCUGGAAGGGAGCGUCAUAGAGGGUGAGAAUCCCGUCUUUGACACGGACUACCAGUGCUUAUGUGUUGCGCUCUCAACGAGUCGAGUUGUUUGGGAAUGCAGCUCAAAAUGGGUGGUAAAUUCCAUCUAAAGCUAAAUAUAGGCGAGAGACCGAUAGCGAACAAGUACCGUGAGGGAAAGACGAAAAGAACUUUGAAAAGAGAGUUAAACAGUACGUGAAAUUGCUGAAAGGGAAACACUUGAUGUCAGUCGCGUUGAUUAGGGGUCAGCCUUGGUUAUACUCGGCGUAAUUCCUAGUUGAUGGGUCAGCGUCAGUUUUGGUUACUGUAGACAGGCAUUGGGGAAAGUGGCACUCUUUAGGGAGUGUGUUAUAGACCCUGGUCGUAUGCAGUGGUUGGGACUGAGGAGCUCUGCACGGACUAGAUUUUGUGCAAGGGAUGCUGGCAUAAUGGCCUUAAGUGACCCGUCUUGAAACACGGACCAAGGAGUCUAACAUGCCUGCGAGUGUUUGGGUUUGUAAACUCGAGCGCGUAAUGAAAGUGAAAGUUGAGACCUCUGUCAUGGAGGGCACCGACGCCCAGACCUGAGUCUUUGACAAAGGAUCUGCGGUAGAGCAUGUAUGUUGGGACCCGAAAGAUGGUGAACUAUGCCUGAAUAGGGUGAAGCCAGAGGAAACUCUGGUG
Molecule: ribosomal RNA, 814 nt
Filed under: Rossbeevera yunnanensis
Lineage: Eukaryota; Fungi; Basidiomycota; Agaricomycetes; Boletales; Boletaceae
Description: eukaryotic LSU rRNA
Rfam family: Eukaryotic large subunit ribosomal RNA
Source: RNAcentral